GUGGGGAAUAUUGGACAAUGGGCGAAAGCCUGAUCCAGCAACGCCGCGUGAGGGAUGACGGCCUUCGGGUUGUAAACCUCUUUCAGUACCGACGAAGCGCCAACAACGGUGGUGACGGUAGGUACAGAAGAAGGACCGGCCAACUACGUGCCAGCAGCCGCGGUAAUACGUAGGGUCCGAGCGUUGUCCGGAAUUAUUGGGCGUAAAGGGCUCGUAGGCGGUCUGUUGCGUCGGGAGUGAAAACUUACAGCUUAACUGUGAGCGUGCUUCCGAUACGGGCAGACUUGAGGCAUUCAGGGGAGAACGGAAUUCCUGGUGUAGCGGUGAAAUGCGCAGAUAUCAGGAGGAACACCGGUGGCGAAGGCGGUUCUCUGGGAAUGUCCUGACGCUGAGGAGCGAAAGUGUGGGGAGCGAACAGG
This 419-nucleotide ribosomal RNA is filed under the name uncultured Nocardioides sp. RNAcentral describes it as "bacterial SSU rRNA". It matches the Rfam family "Bacterial small subunit ribosomal RNA", at positions 354 to 776 of the family's 1533-position model. Lineage: Bacteria; Bacillati; Actinomycetota; Actinomycetes; Propionibacteriales; Nocardioidaceae. The record is from RNAcentral.